This 459-nucleotide ribosomal RNA is filed under the name uncultured bacterium. Its description in RNAcentral is "partial 16S ribosomal RNA". It matches the Rfam family "Bacterial small subunit ribosomal RNA", at positions 338 to 795 of the family's 1533-position model. The record is from RNAcentral.
CCUACGGUAGGCAGCAGUGAGGACUCUUGGUCAAUGGUCGGGAGACUGAACCAGCCAAGCCGCGUGAGGGAUGAAGGUACAGAGUAUCGUACACCUCUUUUGUCAGGGAACAAAGGCGGGGACGUGUCCCCUGAUGAGUGUACCUGAAGAAAACGCAUCGGCUAACUCCGUGCCAGCAGCCGCGGUAAUACGGGGGAUGCGAGCGUUAUCCGGGUUUAUUGUGUUUAAAGGGUGCGCAGGCGGUCCGUUAAUUCAGCGUUAAAAGCCCGGGGCCAAACCCCGGCCCGCCGUUGAAACUGGCAGUAUCGAGUUGGAGAGAAGUAUGCGGAAUGCGCGGUGUAGCGGUGAAAUGCAUAGAUAUAGCGCAGAACUCCGAUUGCGAAGGCAGCAUGCCGGCUCCACACUGACGCUGAGGCACGAAAGCGUGGGUAUCGAACAGGAUUAGAUACCCUUGUAGUC